Molecule: ribosomal RNA, 465 nt
Filed under: Vreelandella stevensii
Lineage: Bacteria; Pseudomonadati; Pseudomonadota; Gammaproteobacteria; Oceanospirillales; Halomonadaceae
Description: partial 16S ribosomal RNA
Rfam family: Bacterial small subunit ribosomal RNA
Source: RNAcentral
CCUACGGGAGGCUGCAGUGGGGAAUAUUGGACAAUGGGGGGAACCCUGAUCCAGCCAUACCGCGUGUGUGAAGAAGGCCCUCGGGUUGUAAAGCACUUUCAGUGAGGAAGAACGCCUGGUGGUUAAUACCCAUCAGGAAAGACAUCACUCACAGAAGAAGCACCGGCUAACUCCGUGCCAGCAGCCGCGGUAAUACGGAGGGUGCGAGCGUUAAUCGGAAUUACUGGGCGUAAAGCGCGCGUAGGUGGCUUGAUAAGCCGGUUGUGAAAGCCCCGGGCUCAACCUGGGAACGGCAUCCGGAACUGUCAAGCUAGAGUGCAGGAGAGGAAGGUAGAAUUCCCGGUGUAGCGGUGAAAUGCGUAGAGAUCGGGAGGAAUACCAGUGGCGAAGGCGGCCUUCUGGACUGACACUGACACUGAGGUGCGAAAGCGUGGGUAGCAAACAGGAUUAGAUACCCCAGUAGUC